Molecule: long non-coding RNA, 1801 nt
Organism: Sinocyclocheilus grahami
Lineage: Eukaryota; Metazoa; Chordata; Actinopteri; Cypriniformes; Cyprinidae
Exons: 3
Source: RefSeq, a predicted model, not a curated record
CUCCACGAUGCGCGUGCCGCUGAGCACAUGGAGGAGAGAGGAGAGGACGCACACUUAGCAGCCUGGCUAAUGUAGCCUGUGGGUCGCAAAAUAUUGGCAAAUGAAGAACAUUUCAGAUCUGGAAAGUGGACUGACUUGCUUAAGGCGUCCUACAUGGAUGAGAGAAAAAUAUUGAGGAUGUGAGCAGUCCCUUCACCUUUAAGAGUUAUCUUCAAAAUGGAGCUUGUUCUUUUUACUAAGUUUCAGUCUCAGAAUCCAGUCAUAGUAUCAGUCACCCUGCCAGUGAGGAAUACGGUGAAGAGGCCGUCCUGUGCGUUAAGAGACCUACACCGGACAGCAUGACCUUCAGAUGACUGGACUGAACUUGGACUGUGUUUAGGCAGCAUGAACUAGAGAACAACCUCCUGCUGAAGCCAUGCGUCACACUGCCAUCAACCUCAUUUAAACCAUAGCGCUGAUGUCACUGGAUAUGUUAAAUAGGUCAGGUGCACCUCCAUGUGCCACUUACUGUUCACAAAAGAAGACUGCAUCCAUGUGAAUUGGUGGUAAAUUGGUCUAAUGGUGGUAAAAGCUUUAGUCUUCAGGAGUCUUCAGAAAGGGUCAACCAAGUAUUUUUGCAAAUAUAUGUAUACAUAUACAUAUAUAUUGUAAUUAUUGUUAACAUUCAUAACAGGUCUCCAUGCUCUGUUUUUCUCUGUUUUCCUCUGUUUUGAAGGGUUUGUUUAAGCACAGUAUGCACCGUGUAACCCCAGAAGUGAACCCAGUGUGUUGUAAUAAUAAAAUGCGUAUUAAUCUGUGAAUGCAUUUAAAAUCUAUGGAUAAUGUAAAGGUUAUAAUGCCCUUACGUUUUAAUGAUUGGGUGACUGUAGAUAUAUAUAGUGAGAUGGUUUAAGUGGGACUAGCCAUUACUCCUCUUGGGCUGAGGAUUUUCUCGUGGAUCUCUGGUAAAGCCCAGGUUAAUGGAAUUGCUUCAGAUCUGGUUUUGGGGAUUGAGAAGCCUCUGUUUAGAUUAAUGUGAGCACCAGGGAUGAUGGGAAAGCGGGAUGCAGCCAGUGCUCUCUAAUAACACUGUGAGGGGUGGGGGUCAACACAGGGCAUGCCCAAUCUGGCUAGACUGUUUCGUCAGUGGUUUCUCUCAUAAUCCUCUUUCUCUGACUGCCACCGUGACUAUGUGACUGCCUGUGUAACAGAAACCAUGAAUCUCAGACAGCAGGGCAGCUAAAGGACUUUAUGAAUUGUAAACAAACUAGCAUGCAUUAUGAAUGAUGAAAUCAUUUCAAAUCAAAGCAGGGUAGACGUUACCCAAAUUUAAAAACAGUUCUCUAAAUAUUUCCACCCUCUUGUUAAAAUGUCAUGUGUUUCCUCUUUUACAGUGAAGAGGUUGUGUAUCAGUUAUGCAUGCGUACCCUCGGCUGGAGGAUUCAAAUUAGACUGAAUUCCUAUGUAAAGUGGUCUCUCACUUCUAUCAUGGGACAUGUUGUACUUUAUCGUUUCUGAGUGGUCCUGUCUCAGAGGUCCUGUUUCUUAAUGCCAACUUUCUCGCAACUUUUUAGCAUUAAAUGUAGUAUUACAUGUUACACAUCCUUCAAGGGGCUCCCGGAUUCAACUGGCACAUGCAGCCUGUGCAUAUUUGUUUUGUGACAUGCAUGUUAUGCAAAAAGACAAGCUGUUAUGUCAACAUUUCCUAAUUCUGUACAGUUAUAUCUUGCUGUUAAAUCUUGCGUCUUUUGACCCUCACAUUUCCAGCCAAUUUUUUUUUCUUAACAUUUUUUCCCUUUGAUUUCCCUCCCCCGUCGCUAAC